GAAGAAAGUUGGGGCUGUCGAUUGUGAAGAUGGGGAUGGUGAAGCGUGAAGGAAUGGGAUUUUGAGGGUUGAGGACACAAGACUGGAGAGGAAUGGAGAGGUUGGAGUCCUAGGAGAGGAAAGCCCGAGGGAGAGGAAGGGAAGGACGGAUGCUGAAGGACUGAAGGGAUGUGGGUGGAAUGGCUUAGAGACAGGAAGGGAAGCCGGUGGAUUGGGUCUUAGGACUAGGAGCCACGUUUUUGGAAGGGGUGCGGAAGGAUUGAACGGGAUGAGCUCUGAAGAGGGAAGAUGAGCUGUGAAUGUGUGAAGGGGAAGGUUUAGGAUUUGGGGUGAGAAGCUGUAGAGUUGGUAAGAGUAUCAAGAUGUGGGAGAAAUUAGUUUGCCCUUGAGGGAAAGUAGAGAGCUG
RNAcentral lists this long non-coding RNA (406 nucleotides) under Marmota monax (woodchuck). Lineage: Eukaryota; Metazoa; Chordata; Mammalia; Rodentia; Sciuridae. The record is from RNAcentral.